This 301-nucleotide ribosomal RNA is filed under the name uncultured bacterium. Its description in RNAcentral is "partial 16S ribosomal RNA". It matches the Rfam family "Bacterial small subunit ribosomal RNA", at positions 509 to 807 of the family's 1533-position model. The record is from RNAcentral.
CAGCCGCCGCGGUAAUACGAAGGGGGCUAGCGUUACUCGGAAUUACUGGGCGUAAAGGGCGCGUAGGCGGCGCUCCAAGUUAGGCGUGAAAGUCCUGGGCUCAACCUGGGAACUGCGCUUAAGACUGGAGUGCUUGAGGAUGGAAGAGGGUUGUGGAAUUCCCAGUGUAGAGGUGAAAUUCGUAGAUAUUGGGAAGAACACCGGUGGCGAAGGCGGCAACCUGGUCCAUUACUGACGCUGAGGCGCGACAGCGUGGGGAGCAAACAGGAUUAGAUACCCGCGUAGUCCCUGUCUCUUAUAC